UUUUCGGAGAGUUUGAUCCUGGCUCAGGACGAACGCUGGCGGCGUGCCUAAUACAUGCAAGUCGAGCGGACAGAAGGGAGCUUGCUCCCGGAUGUUAGCGGCGGACGGGUGAGUAACACGUGGGUAACCUGCCUGUAAGACUGGGAUAACUCCGGGAAACCGGAGCUAAUACCGGAUAGUUCCUUGAACCGCAUGGUUCAAGGAUGAAAGACGGUUUCGGCUGUCACUUACAGAUGGACCCGCGGCGCAUUAGCUAGUUGGUGGGGUAAUGGCUCACCAAGGCGACGAUGCGUAGCCGACCUGAGAGGGUGAUCGGCCACACUGGGACUGAGACACGGCCCAGACUCCUACGGGAGGCAGCAGUAGGGAAUCUUCCGCAAUGGACGAAAGUCUGACGGAGCAACGCCGCGUGAGUGAUGAAGGUUUUCGGAUCGUAAAGCUCUGUUGUUAGGGAAGAACAAGUGCGAGAGUAACUGCUCGCACCUUGACGGUACCUAACCAGAAAGCCACGGCUAACUACGUGCCAGCAGCCGCGGUAAUA
RNAcentral lists this ribosomal RNA (541 nucleotides) under Bacillus pumilus. RNAcentral's name for it is "bacterial SSU rRNA". It matches the Rfam family "Bacterial small subunit ribosomal RNA", at positions 1 to 525 of the family's 1533-position model. Lineage: Bacteria; Bacillati; Bacillota; Bacilli; Caryophanales; Bacillaceae. The record is from RNAcentral.